Molecule: ribosomal RNA, 295 nt
Filed under: uncultured bacterium
Lineage: Bacteria
Description: partial 16S ribosomal RNA
Rfam family: Bacterial small subunit ribosomal RNA
Source: RNAcentral
UCUGCCCUACGGGACGCAGCAGUGGGGAAUAUUGGGCAAUGGGCGCAAGCCUGACCCAGCAAUGCCGCGUGAAGGAAGAAGGCCCUCGGGUUGUAAACUUCUUUUAUCAGGGACGAAGGAUGUGACGGUACCUGAUGAAUAAGCUCCGUCUAACUACGUGCCAGCAGCCGUGGUAAUACGUAGGGAGCAAGCGUUAUCCGGAUUUACUGGGUGUAAAGGGCGCGUAGGCGGGAUGGCAAGUCAGAUGUGAAAUCCAGGGGCUCAACCACUGAACUGCAUUUGAAACUGUCGUUCU